UACGUAGGGUCCGAGCGUUGUCCGGAAUUAUUGGGCGUAAAGGGCUCGUAGGCGGUCUGUCGCGUCGGGAGUGAAAACUUACAGCUUAACUGUGAGCGUGCUUCCGAUACGGGCAGACUUGAGGUAUUCAGGGGAGAGCGGAAUUCCUGGUGUAGCGGUGAAAUGCGUAGAUAUCAGGAGGAACACCUGUGGCGAAAGCGGCUCACUGGACCACAACUGACGCUGAGGCGCGCAAGCUAGGGGAGCAAACAGG
Molecule: ribosomal RNA, 253 nt
Filed under: uncultured bacterium
Lineage: Bacteria
Description: partial 16S ribosomal RNA
Rfam family: Bacterial small subunit ribosomal RNA
Source: RNAcentral